This 600-nucleotide ribosomal RNA is filed under the name uncultured bacterium. Its description in RNAcentral is "bacterial SSU rRNA". It matches the Rfam family "Bacterial small subunit ribosomal RNA", at positions 92 to 668 of the family's 1533-position model. The record is from RNAcentral.
UUAGCGGCGGACGGGUGAGUAACACGUGGAUAACCUACCUAUAAGACUGGGAUAACUUCGGGAACCGGAGCUAAUACCGGAUAAUAUAUUGAACCGCAUGGUUCAAUAGUGAAAGACGGUUUUUGCUGUCACUUAUAGAUGGAUCCGCGCUGCAUUUUAGCUAAGGUUUUGGGUUAAGGUAACGGUUACCAAGGCAACGAUGCGUAGCCGACCUGAGAGGGUGAUCGGCACACUGGAACUGAGACACGGUCCAGACUCCUACGGGAGGCAGCACGUAGGGAAUCUUCCGCAAUGGGCGAAAGCCUGACGGAGCAACGCCGCGUGAGUGAUGAAGGUCUUCGGAUCGUAAAACUCUCGUUAUUAGGGAAGAACNACAUGUGUAAGUACUAUGCACGUCUUGACGGUACCUCAAUCAGAAAGCCACGGGUAAAUACGUGCCAGAAGCGCGGUAAUACGUACGUGGAAGCGUUAUCCGGAAUUAUUGGGCGUAAAGCGCGCGUAAGCGGUUUUUUAAGUCUCGAUGUGAAAGGCCCACGGGUCAACCGUGGAGGGUCAUUGGAAACUGAAAAACUUUGCAGUGCAAAAAGGAAAGUGGGAAUU